UAAGUCCCAUGGACUCAACAUCAACGACCACACCUUUGUUAUCCAGGAUUGCUCGACCACAAUUUUUGGCAAUAUUCAUGGCCAGAGUCUAAAUUUAUUAGUUCAUGAAUUCAAAUUGUAAAACAGUAUCUAGAAAGUAAUGAGAUAAUGACUAUCGCUUUGUGGUUCUUCAAAAAGCAAAAACGAGGUAUUACCGCUAACUUACUGGUGAGGAAGUGCGUGUUGCAUUUGCAGCUGGCCUAGUUAUACAAAAAAGUUCAUACAUAACCAUUAUAUUGCUAUACUUUUCAAACUAUCAAGAGUGCUUGUUAUCGUGUGACCUUUUUACUAGCGUCUGUAAGUGAGAGGUUUGGCGGUACGCUAGGAAAAGAAGAGGUUUGAGUUAAGCACUAAAAACUUCUGUUUCGUAAAUUACAGUCUAAAAAGAAAAGAAUAUA
Schizosaccharomyces pombe (fission yeast) is the source of this 437-nucleotide non-coding RNA. NCBI's taxonomy places the organism in Eukaryota, Fungi, Ascomycota, Schizosaccharomycetes, Schizosaccharomycetales, Schizosaccharomycetaceae. The record is from the annotation of a GenBank genome assembly.